GGAAACCGAAAACUCGGCGGCCAAGGCUCCGUGCCCCGCGCGCAGCGCUGCUUCUGCCCCGGCCAAGGACGCCCGGGCCAGCCGGCGGAACCAGAGGUUUUCAGUGACGUUCAGAGUCAACAGGAAAUUAAUCAGCAAGUAGAAAAUUGAAAGAAGAUCUGCAUCUUACUGCAGGAGUCAUUAAAAUAAAAGCAGAUUUGGCAAAAUGGCAAGAAUCAGAGGAUGAGGAUGUAAAACAAAAACUUUUGGAGUCAUUUUGCCACCAGGAUGAAAAUAGGAUGAAGCUGACAUGACAAAGGUGCAGGUGUUCUGAUAUGAGAAGAACUUCUUCAGAAGGUAUCUUAAUGCAUAUGGGGAAACUGAGGCCCAGUUGUCAUAGCCUUCUCCAGCAUGUGUUCCUUCUAUAUUUCAGACAUGGCAUAGGAGACACAGCAAUAACUAAGGGGCAACUAUUGCAUCCAGGAAAAAAAAAAAAGAAGAUAAUGACUUCUCUGCAACUAAGAUGAAGAUCCACUGAACUUUGGGGUUUGAAAUGCAACGUUAGAACUUCAGACUCCCGGCACCUAGGUCUCCAGCUUCUGGGUGGUGCCAGCAUCAGAGAUACACUCUGCAAAACAUAUACUGUCUUAGGAAAAAGUGACCCUGUUGUCCUUUCAGGCCCAUAUUCCACAGAAGACAAAUGGAGAUGUAAAAGGAAAACUGCAGCUCUGAGUUAAGAGAGAGCAAGUUGUCUGUUCUAAUACAGCCAGGAAAUAAGAUGUUCUGGUUAAUAUGUGCUAAAGAUGUGGUGCUGACUUUCCGACUCAGAAUAUGAUCACAUGUUUUUCUCAUUAAAACUAUAUUGAAUGU
RNAcentral lists this long non-coding RNA (849 nucleotides) under Pan troglodytes (chimpanzee). Its description in RNAcentral is "lincRNA". Lineage: Eukaryota; Metazoa; Chordata; Mammalia; Primates; Hominidae. The record is from RNAcentral.